RNAcentral lists this transfer RNA (43 nucleotides) under Burchardia rosea. RNAcentral describes it as "partial transfer RNA-Phe". The record is from RNAcentral. Lineage: Eukaryota; Viridiplantae; Streptophyta; Magnoliopsida; Liliales; Colchicaceae.
AUGGUUGGGAUACCUCAUUUGGUAAAACAAAAGACUGAAAAUC